RNAcentral lists this ribosomal RNA (476 nucleotides) under Planctomycetaceae bacterium. RNAcentral describes it as "partial 23S ribosomal RNA". It matches the Rfam family "Bacterial large subunit ribosomal RNA", at positions 1 to 496 of the family's 2925-position model. The record is from RNAcentral. Lineage: Bacteria; Pseudomonadati; Planctomycetota; Planctomycetia; Planctomycetales; Planctomycetaceae.
AAUCAAGCGCGAGAAGGGCGUUUGGUGGAUGCCUUGGCAGCAAGAGGCGAUGAAGGACGUGGUACUCUGCGAUAAGCUAGGGGGAGCCGAGAACAGGCUUUGAUCCCUAGAUCUCCGAAUGGGGAAACCCACCUGACAGUUUGUUAUUGUUACUCCGGUAAUCAAUAACGGGCUGAGACAGGUACUUUUACCCUGAAUCCAUAGGGGUUUAAGAGCGAACCCGGGGAACUGAAACAUCUAAGUACCCGGAGGAAAGGAAAUCAAUAGAGACUCCGUUAGUAGUGGCGAGCGAACGCGGACCAGCCGAGCCCAGAGAAUGACCAGAAUGAUCUGGAAAGAUCAGCCAGAGCGGGUGACAGCCCCGUAUGGGAAGUUCGAAGGGACGUAUUAAGUAGGGCGGGACACGUGAAAUCCUGUCUGAAGAUCGGGGGACCACCCCCGAAGGCUAAGUACUCCUUGCUGACCGAUAGCGAACC